Molecule: long non-coding RNA, 1014 nt
Filed under: Homo sapiens (human)
Lineage: Eukaryota; Metazoa; Chordata; Mammalia; Primates; Hominidae
Description: non-protein coding lnc-SIPA1L2-5:1
Source: RNAcentral
UCUCACCCUACUCAUUUCCCUGGGAAAUUGUACCUACACCUGUUAUUGAUAUUUUGAUGACUUCCAUAUCUGUUCUUCAGCUCUGUGGUACAUUGCAAAGCCUGGCCAGAAAUAUUUGUUGCUCCUCCUGUCAAGCGGUGGAGUUGAUUUCUCCAACCAUUGAGUCUGGCUGCCUUUGGGACUUGCUUUGGAGAACAAAAUGCAGAAGUGAUGCUGUGCCAGUCCUGAGCUUGGACCUCAAGAUAUUUUGCACACAUAUGCUUUUGAUCUUGGAACCCCUUAUCCUAGCCCAGUAAACUGGGCUGAACUGAUGAUCAAAGACGCCUCCUUCACCGUGUCUACAAGGCCCUCUGAAAACACCUGGUCCUCUGGCGAUCCAUCAGUUAACUGGUCCAUGAGCUUCUGCUGGACUCACAGCCUUGACUUUAAUCCUCAUAUAAUUGGGAAACAUUAAAUAUUCUUGAAUGUUAACAUGUCAGUACCAGGGCUCUGCUUCAAGAGAACUGGUCUGGGAGUUGUACUGAGCAUGCCUUAUGGGGAAACUUUGGAUGUAAGAAGAGAAAUUAAGAAGGCCUUUCAUACAUCCAGCGAGAAAAGAUGGAUCUCAAACAAGACUGGUGGUAAUGAGAACUUUCAGUGUUUUUUGAAGGAAAGUUUUAGGAGGAUGAGAUGGAUACCAAGAAGAACUUCAGGAGUAUAUUAUUCAGGCUCUGUUCUGAGCAGGUGUCAAGGGAGGGAAAGGGCCCGUGAUCUCAAGCCUGGCUCACAGAUAUGAGUGAAAGCAUUGUUUGAAUAAUAAAGUAUGGAGGAGAAGGAGGUUUAUGGAGCAAAGAAAUGGUCACAAGACAACUAGGAGACACGGUGCUGGAGAGGUGGUUUGGGGUCAGCCCUUCUGUACGUGCAUGGCAGCUAGUUGCUCAAGCGCAUUGCUCAGCUUUUUCCUUCUGCAUCUCUGUAUGUGCCAUUUCUUCUACCCAGCUUCCUGAUCUAUUUAUUAAAACAAUACUUCCAAGA